This 30-nucleotide non-coding RNA is filed under the name Homo sapiens (human). Lineage: Eukaryota; Metazoa; Chordata; Mammalia; Primates; Hominidae. The record is from RNAcentral.
GACUUAGGGAUCUUUCACCUGCUGUGCCCA